CCUACGGGGGGCUGCAGUCGAGGAUCUUCGGCAAUGGGCGCAAGCCUGACCGAGCGACGCCGCGUGUGCGAUGAAGGCCUUCGGGUUGUAAAGCACUGUCGAGGGGGAUAAAGCCGAAAGGUUGAUAGAUCCCUGGAGGAAGCACGGGCUAAGUUCGUGCCAGCAGCCGCGGUAAGACGAACCGUGCGAACGUUAUUCGGAAUCACUGGGCUUAAAGGGCGCGUAGGCGGAGUCUCAAGUCUGUGGUGAAAUCCCCCGGCUUAACCGGGGAACUG
This 275-nucleotide ribosomal RNA is filed under the name uncultured bacterium. RNAcentral's name for it is "partial 16S ribosomal RNA". It matches the Rfam family "Bacterial small subunit ribosomal RNA", at positions 338 to 623 of the family's 1533-position model. The record is from RNAcentral.